This is a non-coding RNA of Peromyscus maniculatus bairdii (prairie deer mouse), 1111 nucleotides long. NCBI's taxonomy places the organism in Eukaryota, Metazoa, Chordata, Mammalia, Rodentia, Cricetidae. The record is from RefSeq and is a predicted model, not a curated record.
AAGCAAGGGGUGUUCAGGUUAAAGCUAGAAAUCUGUACACUAUUGAUGGAACAAAGUUGAUUAAAAAAAAAAAGACCUUGCUAUUAGAACUAACAAAUGUCUAUACCAUGAAUAUUUUUCACUACAAUCUCAUUGAAAAAGCAACAUAAAAUAUUUCGAUGCCCUGGACUGGGCCUGGAGAGAUUGCUCAGGGGUUAAGAGCACUUGCUUUUCUUUCAGAGGAACUUGGUGUGUUCCCAGCACCUACAUGAGCUGGCUAACAACUGCCUAUAACUCCAGCUCCAGGGGAAUAUGAAGUCAUCCUUCUGGAUUCCAGUCACCUGCACUCAUGAACAUACCUCCUCUACACAUGCAUGCCUAUAAUUUAAAACAUUAAAGUUUUUAAAAGACAUGCUAUGCAUGCAUGUGUUUGCAGAAGGUCAAGUGCUCUCCAUUAGCUAACCUGGACUGUGUACGACAGCAGGUUUGAGAUGCUUCCACUGGGGACUGUUCACCCUGGAAAUUGUGUAGAAUGUCUUCAGUUAGCAUGCUAAUGUCAGAGUGUUUUGUGCACCUUCAAAUCUUUCAAUCUCAGAAGGACAAAUUGGUUUAAAAAAUAUAGAAAUGCGAUCUAAUCAGUUUGCAACAAGUGAAUGACAGGGGGUGAGAACUUUCCAGAAGAUUCGGGAACUUUGUGUGGUGGAUGUAUAAGCAAACCCUUGUGAAAGGAAGUUGCACCUGCCUAUGAAUGAAGAUUCCUGAAUGGAGGCUCUGUCAGCAAGUGACCGGCCCGUCAGAACUUCAACACUGUGGGGAGACUGGAACGCUGUGGAGCCAGAGGCUAAACAGCCAAUGCUCCCCACCUCUGUAUUGGAACUAACAUAGCUUCUGGGUUGGUAGAAGCUAGUUUUCUGCUAAGAUGUCAUCAGGUAGCAUCCCAGGCCUGCAGAAAAGCUCCCACAUCUCACUGUACCCGCCUCUGAUGUUUCCACCAAUGUGUUUUAAACUUGCCUUGAUUUGUGAUUUUCUUUGUUCCGUAAAACUAUGAAACUGCUUCCAAGUUGGAACAUGGAAUUUGGGGUAACCUAAAUCUGUACUCUGAGAAUCAUGGGAGGUCUUAAGGGCUCCAGAA